UACGUAGGGUGCGAGCGUUAAUCGGAAUUACUGGGCGUAAAGGGUGCGCAGGCGGUCUUGUAAGUCAGAUGUGAAAUCCCCGGGCUUAACCUGGGAACUGCGUUUGAAACUACAAGACUAGAGUGUAGCGAGAGGGGGGUGGGAAUUCCACGUGUAGCAGUGAAAUGCGUAGAGAUGUGGAAGAACACCGAUGGCGAAGG
This 200-nucleotide ribosomal RNA is filed under the name uncultured bacterium. RNAcentral's name for it is "partial 16S ribosomal RNA". It matches the Rfam family "Bacterial small subunit ribosomal RNA", at positions 524 to 721 of the family's 1533-position model. RNAcentral also lists the same sequence under 1 other name. The record is from RNAcentral.